AAAAAACAAGCACAUAUCUGUUAAGUACAGUAUUUUUCAUAUUUUUUAAGAAAACGGGGAUCCUAUAGUUCAAAAACUUGACGUGAUAGAGAAAAACUGAGAUCAGUUUUGGAUUCCACACCCAAAAAUUAGUCAAAAACAGCUGUCAGACCUAACCCAACAAAAAUUGUGUUCCCCAGUGUAAUUAACUUCAACAUGUAAA
Sphaeramia orbicularis (orbiculate cardinalfish) is the source of this 202-nucleotide long non-coding RNA. RefSeq lists it as uncharacterized. Lineage: Eukaryota; Metazoa; Chordata; Actinopteri; Kurtiformes; Apogonidae. The record is from RefSeq and is a predicted model, not a curated record. The transcript is spliced from 3 exons.